Molecule: ribosomal RNA, 495 nt
Filed under: uncultured bacterium
Lineage: Bacteria
Description: partial 16S ribosomal RNA
Rfam family: Bacterial small subunit ribosomal RNA
Source: RNAcentral
GAUGAACGCUGGCGGCGUGCCUAAUACAUGCAAGUAGAACGCUGAAGGAGGAGCUUGCUCUUUCCGGAUGAGUUGCGAACGGGUGAGUAACGCGUAGGUAACCUGCCUGGUAGCGGGGAUAACUAUUGGAAACGAUAGCUAAUACCGCAUAACAGUAGAUAUUUCAUGAUAUUUGCUUGAAAGGGGCAAUUGCUCCACUACCAGAUGGACCUGCGUUGUAUUAGCUAGUUGGUGAGGUAACGGCUCACCAAGGCGACGAUACAUAGCCGACCUGAGAGGGUGAGCGGCCACACUGGGACUGAGACACGGCCCAGACUCCUACGGGAGGCAGCAGUAGGGAAUCUUCGGCAAUGGACGGAAGUCUGACCGAGCAACGCCGCGUGAGUGAAGAAGGUUUUCGGAUAGUAAAGCUCUGUUGUAAGAGAAGAACGAGUGUGAGAGUGGAAAGUUCACACUGUGACGGUAUCUUACCAGAAAGGGACGGCUAACUACGUG